GCGAACCGGAAAGGGGUCGGCAACUUACCUUCAGGUCUACUGGUGAAGGUUUUGGGGUCGGGAAGGAACAGACUUGGGCGGAAAGACUAAAGCAAUAAGGCUUGAGCGGCGGUGAGGUUUGACGGUGCUCCGACGCCGACGGAGCUUCAUGUGGGCAACAAGAAAGCUCUAGCACAGCGCGGGGAGCAGACGGCUGGUGGGUUGGGGAGAAGCGAGUUCGAGC
Molecule: long non-coding RNA, 223 nt
Filed under: Setaria viridis
Lineage: Eukaryota; Viridiplantae; Streptophyta; Magnoliopsida; Poales; Poaceae
Description: long non-coding RNA (SVIR_LNC009156)
Source: RNAcentral